UACGUAGGGUGCGAGCGUUCAUCGGAAUUACUGGGCGUAAAGCGUGCGCAGGCGGCUUUGCAAGACAGAUGUGAAAUCCCCGGGCUCAACCUGGGAACUGCAUUUGUGACUGCAAGGCUAGAGUACGGCAGAGGGGGAUGGAAUUCCGCGUGUAGCAGUGAAAUGCGUAGAUAUGCGGAGGAACACCAAUGGCGAAGGCAAUCCCCUGGGCCUGUACUGACGCUCAUGCACGAAAGCGUGGGGAGCAAACAGG
Molecule: ribosomal RNA, 253 nt
Filed under: uncultured bacterium
Lineage: Bacteria
Description: partial 16S ribosomal RNA
Rfam family: Bacterial small subunit ribosomal RNA
Source: RNAcentral